CCAGGAGUUCAGGUCCCUGCACUGGACUCUUCCUGUGGCCACCACACAGCAGAUGAGGCAGUCACAAACAAGGAGGAACACGCAGUAUGACGAUUGUGAAGUCUGUAACCUCUGAGUACUUCAGCCAGUGAAGAACAAGGAGAGACAAUGUGGUUGGGAAGUUAGGAUAAAAAGAGGCUUGUGCCUCCAGUACUCUAAGAGACCCUGCAGGGG
This 213-nucleotide long non-coding RNA is filed under the name Gallus gallus (chicken). RNAcentral describes it as "long non-coding RNA NONGGAT004009". The record is from RNAcentral. Lineage: Eukaryota; Metazoa; Chordata; Aves; Galliformes; Phasianidae.